Molecule: long non-coding RNA, 443 nt
Organism: Triticum dicoccoides
Lineage: Eukaryota; Viridiplantae; Streptophyta; Magnoliopsida; Poales; Poaceae
Exons: 3
Source: RefSeq, a predicted model, not a curated record
GUACCCGGCUGUGGACUCGCCACCGGGGGAGAAGACCAAGAUCUCAAUGCACUACGCCAAAGAGAACGGGGGCGGCGACCGCCAUUUGGAUCUCGACUGUGACAACGACGAGCCCCUAUGUUUCGGCAUGAAGUACCUUGUCUCAACCUUGGAGGGGAAGAUACGAGAUGCGCGGGAGUCGCGAUCCGAGCUCUAGUAGCGUGGUAGGUAUGCCCAGUGCCCACUGCCCAGUGGAGAUUGGAGAAGGAGCUCAAAUUUUGUGUUGUACUAUCUGCAACUGGUGCCCAUCCGGCGAGGUAGUACCGUAAUAGCGUGGUAGUAGCGUGCAGGGUGCUGGAGUAUGUCGAUCUUCAGGUAUCUCUGUAGUAUCUCUUGGAUUGUGUGUGUCGCCUAACAUAAGAGGCGAUCGUGUGAAUCUCUUCCGAGUUCGUUCGUGAAAGAAA